Molecule: ribosomal RNA, 395 nt
Filed under: uncultured bacterium
Lineage: Bacteria
Description: partial 16S ribosomal RNA
Rfam family: Bacterial small subunit ribosomal RNA
Source: RNAcentral
AUACGUAGGGUGCAAGCGUUAAUCGGAAUUACUGGGCGUAAAGAGUGCGCAGGCGGUUUUGUAAGAAAGAGGUGAAAUCCCCGGGCUCAACCUGGGUACUGCCAUUUUGACUGCAAAGCUGGAGUGCGGCAGAGGGGGCUGGAAUUUCCAGUGUAGCUGUGAAAUGCGUAGAUAUGCGGAGGAACACCGAUGGCGAAGGCAAUCCCCUGGGCCUGCACUGACGCUCAUGCACGAAAGCGUGGGGAGCAAACAGGAUUAGAUACCCUGGUAGUCCACGCCCUAAACGAUGUCAACUGGUUGUUGGGGAUUUAUUUUCUCAGUAACGAAGCUAACGCGUGAAGUUGACCGCCUGGGGAGUACGGCCGCAAGGUUAAAACUCAAAGGAAUUGACGGGG